This is a long non-coding RNA of Pseudophryne corroboree (corroboree frog), 360 nucleotides long. RefSeq lists it as uncharacterized. NCBI's taxonomy places the organism in Eukaryota, Metazoa, Chordata, Amphibia, Anura, Myobatrachidae. The record is from RefSeq and is a predicted model, not a curated record. The transcript has 3 exons.
CCGGGAGGAGGCAUCAGAGAGCCAACAGCUGCUUGUCCCAGAAGAAGCGAGGAGGCAUUGAUUCAACCAAUAUCAUGUACUGUAACUGCCCUCCCAAGGCUGCUUGACUCCCGCUGAUUGCUCGGCAUCCACCCAUGGUCAGCGCGUAUGCCUGGCUCUGGCUCCCUCCAUCUGACAGCGCAUAUGCUUGGCUCCGGCUCUCAAAUGGUGACAUCCCACUGCCCGGCUCCCUCCACCUGAUAGUGCAUAUGCCUGGAUCCCGCAUGCUGACACCCCGCUGCCCGGCAACUGAUUCCGACAGAGACGUGGACUAGAAGACCAAGGGGACCGAUAGGCAGUGAGUCAAGCCGUAAUCCGGUA